Molecule: long non-coding RNA, 6504 nt
Filed under: Ananas comosus (pineapple)
Lineage: Eukaryota; Viridiplantae; Streptophyta; Magnoliopsida; Poales; Bromeliaceae
Description: long non-coding RNA (ACOM_LNC042030)
Source: RNAcentral
UGGUCACUAGAGAGGCAGCCCUGCUUGCUGCUCGGAUAGCCGCUUGUUAUCCGCAGGCGUACUCGGGGAUAGUCCAGCUCGACAUCCCUAGGAGAUUGAUAUGUGAGCCUUGCUUGUGAACCACGAGUUCACCUUGAGAUUGGGUUACCCAUUGAGCCAUACCCAUUGUUGUUGUUCAUGAUAGCUUGCUUCCAUAGUUGUUGUUGUUGAUCAUAGUUGCCUUUGGCUUACCGGCUGAUUGGGUGGUCUAGAGAAUAGCCCUAUUGAUGAACCUAGUGGUAUGGUAGUUAACCUUCACUAGACUUACCUUGAUAGCGAGCAUAGUCGCUUGGUAGUUGGUUUAGCGGAUUUGCCUAUAUACAGUGAGUGGGUAUACUAUUCCUUCACCUAUGAGAUUUGAGUACCUAUUGAGUCAUACUCAUUAUUGUUGUUCAUAAUAGCUUGCUUCCAUAAUUGUUGUUAUUCACCUCCUAGAUUUGAGAUCUUAGGCAAGUUAGCCUAGCGGAUUGGGUAAUAACAUGAAUAGCAUAAGAGUAUUGCAUUCAUACCUUGAUUAGACAUAGUGCAUUGCAUAACUAUGUUGUUGUUGUAUUUAUUUCACUGUUGAAGCAUAUUAGCAUGAUAGUAGAUUGUUGCUAGAUGAUGCUCCAUGCAUACUUUGCAUUUGAUGGCAUAGUAGAUAUAGUAGUAGUAUUUCCAUAUAUCUUUCUAUCUAUCUAUCUGUGCCAGCUUGGACCUAGUGGGAAGAUCGGCGGAGUCGGCGGCCGAACCCACUGGGAACUAUAUUUAUAUAGUUCUCACCCCGUGUGGUUGGUAUAGUACAGCAUGAGGAGCGGACCGGCAGAUGAUCGCAGCAGGCUAGCGCCCUACGUGCUAGUUGCGUAGAUGCUUCUCGUAUUGCAGUUAGUUGUCACCCUAUGACUACUUGAGUAGAUGAGCUAUAGGUAGGCUGUUUUGAGAAAAUGUGAAUUAAGUUUAUACUUUGGAUGAAUGUACGCUAAGUUGUAAAUUAAAUGUAUUAUCGAGUGAAUAGUUUAAUAGAAUAGUUACAGUAUUCUCUUUAUAUUUCACUUGUAUGUUUACCUACUGUGACGCCUGCUCUUUAUUGUUCAGCACUCGUUUGUGCUUUAGUCGUUUGUUGUAUGAUUGUGUAUCGUAUUCAGUGUUUUCCUGGGAACUUGUUGUACACGAAUCUCGUCAUUUGAAGGCCCUUGGCAGAAGGGAGAACUCUGUCCGUUCGGCCGGUCCGCCGCGCGCCGAACAUGCCAAAUCGUAGCGGCCGGGGCGUGUGGCUGACCAGUUGUGGUUCAAGAGCGAGUUAGAGAGCAAGACAAUAGAGAGAGUCUAGGACUGACCUACGGAGAACACCUAGGACAGGUGAACCUACAUUAUAGUGGCGUGAGGCGACGUGAACAAUCUAUACGGUGGCGGAGUGAGGAUCGAUUGAUCAAGUUUUGUAAAACCUCUAAGAGGAUACGUUAAGAGGUAGAUUCAGGUGUGGUAUUCUCAGCCAAGUGUGUUUAUGUUGCGCGCGACAACAUAAAACUGAUUGAUGAGAAUAGACGCCCUUGUGUGACUUUCGCCCGAUUGAGUGCGUUGUUUCGCUAUUGAGGCGAAGUUAAUGGGAUAGGUGAUUGGUUGGUGCCGGCUGGUUGCUGACAUUAGACCAAACACAGACUCGUGUUAGAGCGAUUGUUAGUUGCCGAGUACGGCACGUGGGCCUAAUAGAACCUCGAAAUGAGGUGGCGAGUUGUGCUUGUGUUGUCGGUGUGCAUAGGCAGAUUGCCUGAUGCUGGACUUCGUGUGAGACCUGUAGCGGACAUAGAGGCUCGAGUGUAGUAUCGUGAAGUGCGGUUUCGAUUCAGCCGGGAGUGAGUUGGCAAGUAGCACUUCAGCGCUAAGUGUGAAGCGAGGCCAUGAUACUACCGUAGGUGGUGGCUGCACUAGGUGCCUAGAAGCGUUAGAGUGCUGUAGGCUCUGAGAGCAAUGUGUGUAGGACGACGUUGGCCUGGGGUAGUGUUGGGGACGACCGUGCAUUGGACCCUUAUUAGGACUGUGGAGCCUGAGCCCAUUGGGCAGGCACAGUCAGCUGUGAGUGACAGCGCCCCGAUACCUACGGGUAGGGCAGAGAGUUUUGGUCAGGACGGUAGUCCGAGCUUAGAUCUGGGAGCGUGGAAUGCCACGUGUUAGAUCGUGAGAUUGAUGACACCGAGUGUGUAGUGACCCAACCCGAGGACUUGACGUGGUUUGGAGUCUUGGUUGCUCCUGGUUGGAGUGUGUGCGAAUUCUCCAAUGAGAGUGUCGCCCGAUGAUGAUUGGGUCUACGAAGCGAACGAGAGGCGCUAUGCGUAGUUGCGACAGGUUGGGCUGUAAGCCUACGUAGGACUGGUGACCUAUGGUUCACCAAUGAGAUCGAGGUAAACGGUAGGCGGGUGGCCUUAUCGACGAGUUUAAGCUUGAAUUCACGAACAGGAGUUCGUAUGAAUUCGUUGCAAGAGCGAUGUUAGUCGUGGCUGUAGUAUCAAAGGAUAAGGAGAGAAAGUAAAGUGGUCUCUGGGAGACACUUGAGUAAUGAAUAGCCACGUGAGGAUUGAAGCUUGAGGAAAUUGCUCUUCUAUGGAUUGAGAUUCGAGAUGUGCUGAGUGGGCUAUCUCGUGAUGGAACAAGGAUCUAGUCGAGGAUUGAAGCACUCGCGAUUGGUCGAUGCAUCAACGAAAUUGCCUCUGAGCAAUGCCGGUGAUCGAAUCGGAGUGAAAUUUCUCGAUUGGGUGUAUAAUGCAAAGAGCAGUUCCUUACAUGGUGGUAAUACACUUUUGGACUUGCACAUAACAAAUGUGAGCAUAUCCAGUCUCACAUCCUCCGAGGUGGGCCUUUGAACAGUCCAAUAAGUGAAAGGCCACUCCGAGGUGGGAAAGUGCAUUGGAAUUUUCGAUUGCUCGAUAAACCGAGUUGGAGUAUCGAUUGGGUUGAAGUGAGUUAGUUUCGAGGACGAAACUCUUUUAAGGAGGGGAGAAUGUAAGGUACCGGACUUCUAAAAUCAUGAGGUUACGGUGUCCAUUUGGUUGGAGAGCCAUUUGAAUGGUUCCGGUAAGGUUGCGGUGUAAUGUAAUAUACCGGAUUUAAAUAUAAUAAAUAAAAAUAAAUAAAAAUAGUAUGAGAUACUAUUUUUAUUGGAUUUGGAGAAGUGAAAUAUGAGUUAGAAAUGACUUGUGCUGAAAUCGGAAUGAAAACAGAAGAUUUAGAAUUUUCUGUGAGAGACGGGACAGGUAAAUUAGCAGAAAAUGCACAGUCUCAGAAAAUUAUGAAAAUUGGAGGAUAAGUCAGAAAUAUUUUUAUGAGGCUAGAUUUGAGGUUUCAUAUUUUUCUGACACCCGUAGAGUGAGAAAUAAAAUCCGAAAGCUAUCUGAUAAAGAUUGCAGUUCGGCACAGUUUUUGGUGACCAAACGGGGUCGAAGCUGGAAACUUAAGAUAUAUUCUUACUCAGUACGUUAAACCGAGACUACCUGUCAAAUUUGAGCGCAAACGGACAUUCAGAAGGGUUCCGACGGAACUUAUCAGAUUUGAGGGACUAAACUGAAAAGUGGAAUAGUUGAGGGGGCUGCUUGUGGAAAAGAGCAUUGCUCUUCUUCUCCUCCCUCAACCUGCGUACACAACCAGCACACACACACACACACAACACACGCAUGGAGGGGAAAAGAGAGAAAUCUCUUUCUCUCUCUAGAUUUCUCCCGAAGAGAGAGGAUUUUGGUGGAGGUUGAUGCUCAAGGAUGGAUUUUCAUCUUCUCCAACUUCUUCCUCUCCAUUGGAGCAUGCUUUGAAGGUAAGCUUCAAAACCCUUUAAUGGUAUCUCUUUGUAGUUUGGGUUUUAAGCUUCAAGAAUGGAUUUAGAGUUAUUCUAGCAUGCUAAAUAGAUGAUUAUUGCUAGAAUCUAGGAUCAAUUUAGUGAUUUAUUGCCUAGUUGUAACCUAGGGCUCUAAAGUGCAAGUUUUGCUACUAGUAGGGUUUGAUCUCAUUUAACCCUCUGUAAACCUAAUUGAUAGGUCACUGAACGCGUUGGAAGCGACGGUUCGGCGNUUGCUUGGGUUUUAAGCUCUAGAAACGAAUUAGUAGCUUUCCUAGAUGCUAAGUAGAUGAUUUAUGCUUAGAUCCUAAGUUCUAAUGGUGGAUUUUUACCUAUUGCAACAUAGAGCUCCAAAAUGAGGGCUUUAAUGGUAGAUCUCUAAAGAUAGGUCUAAAUGCUUUGGAAAUGGUUUUAGUGGAACCCAUUGAUGCCUAAUAGAUGGUUAAUGCUUGAAUCAUAGAGCAAUUUAAUGAUUUCUUGCAUAGUUGUAAACCUAGGGCUCAAAAUGCUAACUUUCAAAAUAUGAGGGUUUGAUCUCUUUUAACCCUCUGUUUACCUAAUUGCUAGGUCUACGAACGCGUUGGAAGCGACGGUUCGGCGAUUCGUUGAGCCGGUACAAAGAUAUUAAAGAAACGGACGUUAGGCUUCGUUUCCGCCUGGAGGGCCGAGGCGACGUCGUAAAAUCCUGAAAACGGAUUUGAAGCAUCGUACCAAGAAACCGAAGACCUUUAAUUUUCAGAUUGCGGAUCGGAGGUCGUUUGGUGGUCGCGCGCGGAUUGGGUCAAGCCGAGCGGCGUGCGCCGCGGGAGGCCGAUUGCAAGUGACGACAAGCAAUCGGAACGCGAUAAAAGGUGGGGGAGUGCCAUCCCGAAGUCAUCGGGCUUCUUCCUAUGUCUUAGUAUUUAUCCGUUCACAUGUAGCAUAUUGUAUGUUGCUAUGCAUUAUAGGAUGACAAUACAUGCAUUCCUAAUCCUUAUAUGAUGUUUAUGAUCAAUAUAGUAUUAUGAUAUGGAUAUAUGAUGUGAUGGACAUAAGGAUUAUGAGGUGACAUUGGUAAACCUAUGAUGCUAAAUGAAAGAAGAACCUAGUGUUGUGUUUAAAGACAUAGUUUACAAGUGGCAUUGAACUCAUUGUGCUAAAAACACAUAUGACUUGAACUAGUAAUGGAUUGGUUGUUGUACUAGAAACUCUAGUAACAUUGAUCAAGUUGCAUAUUGGGAUAUUGCAUUAUAGGGUACUAGUUGGCAAUUGUUACAUGUCAUGGCAUGCUAGUGAGAGUGUAGUGUUACUUGAUUAAUACUUGUACCUAGUAUGCAUGAGAUUGGGACUUAGUGUGGUGAAACCCUAUAAGGGCAUGAUUAAUGUGGGUUAAACUUGUUGAGUGCAUUAAUCGAUUAAGUUGCAUAUUGUAUUUAUUGCACUUAGGUGCUAGAUGAUUAUGGUCAUUGCUCAUAUUUGCAUGCUAGUAGCUAUACAUCUUGAUGAUUGUUCCAUGAUCUAGUAUGCAUGAUGAUUACAUGAUGAAAACCCUACAAUGAGAACCUAGACCCUAUAUGUGAGAUGAUUAAUGCUUAUAUUGCUAAAGAACUAGUAUGAUGUAACUAGUGUUGAAAUGAGUCUAAAUGACGAGUGGCAUCUAGUUUAGAAAACUAUGAUGAGUGGCAUGUGAUUGUUGAUAACCUUGACAUGAGAACCUUAGUGUAGUUGAAACACUAUGAGAUUGGGUACAAGAACACCUUGAUUCCAUGAUGAGAUUACCCUUAGAGGGUAGGUUGCUGUUGCUCGUGAGAUGAUCACGCUUACAUUGCCUGUCUGCGCUUGGUGGGGUCGCUCCCCCCAGGUUGUGCGCUCCGGAGUUUGGUCACUAGAGAGGCAGCCGUGCUCGCUGCUCGGAUAGCCGCUUGUUAUCCGCAGGCGUACUCGGGGAUAGUCCAGCUCGACAUCCCUAGGAGAUUGAUAUGUGAGCCUUGCUUGUGAACCACGAGUUCACCUUGAGAUUGGGUUACCUAUUGAGCCAUACCCAUUAUUGUUGUUCAUGAUAGCUUGCUUCCAUAGUUGUUGUUGUUGUUGUUCAUAGUAGCUUACUAGUGUUCAUAGUAGCUUACUUAUUGCUCAUGCCUUCAUGAUAUACUAUUCCUUCACCUAUGAGAUUUGAGUACCUAUUGAGUCAUACUCAUUAUUGUUGUUCAUGAUAGCUUGUUUCCAUAGUUGUUGUUGUUGUUCACCUUUGAGAUAUGAGUCGAGUAGACCAGAAUGAGGUAGCUUUUCACCUACUAGAUUUGAGAUCUUAGGCAAAGUAGCCUAGCGGAUUGGGUAAUAACAUGAAUAGCAUAAGAGUAUUGCAUUCAUACCAUGAUUAGACAUAGUGCAUUGCAUAACUAUGUUAUAGUUGUAUUCAUUUCACUGUUGAGGCAUAUUAGCAUGAUAGUAGAUUGUUGCUAGAUGAUGUUCCAUGCAUACUUUGCAUUUGAUGGCAUAGUAGAUAUAGUAGUAGUAUUUCCAUAUAUCUUUCUAUCUAUCUAUCUGUGCCAGCUUGGACCUAGUGGGAAGAUCGGCGGAGUCGGCGGCCGAACCCACUGGGAACUAUAUUUAUAUAGUUCUCACCCCGUGUGGUUUUGGGGUACAGGUACACAUGAGAGCGGAUCGACAGAGGAUCGCAGUUU